This 32-nucleotide ribosomal RNA is filed under the name Darmera peltata. RNAcentral describes it as "partial 18S ribosomal RNA". The record is from RNAcentral. Lineage: Eukaryota; Viridiplantae; Streptophyta; Magnoliopsida; Saxifragales; Saxifragaceae. RNAcentral also lists the same sequence under 70 other names.
CUACCUGGUUGAUCCUGCCAGUAGUCAUAUGC